Molecule: transfer RNA, 82 nt
Filed under: Bryocella elongata
Lineage: Bacteria; Pseudomonadati; Acidobacteriota; Terriglobia; Terriglobales; Acidobacteriaceae
Rfam family: tRNA
About the family: Transfer RNA (tRNA) molecules are approximately 80 nucleotides in length. Their secondary structure includes four short double-helical elements and three loops (D, anti-codon, and T loops).
Source: Rfam by way of RNAcentral
GCGGGGGUGGUGAAAUGGCAGACACGCAGGUCUUAGAAGCCUGUGCCCGAAAGGCGUGAGGGUUCAAGUCCCUUCUCCCGCA